This 467-nucleotide ribosomal RNA is filed under the name uncultured bacterium. Its description in RNAcentral is "partial 16S ribosomal RNA". It matches the Rfam family "Bacterial small subunit ribosomal RNA", at positions 28 to 506 of the family's 1533-position model. The record is from RNAcentral.
GACGAACGCUGGCGGCGUGCUUAACACAUGCAAGUCGAACGGAAAGGCCCUGCUUUUGUGGGGUGCUCGAGUGGCGAACGGGUGAGUAACACGUGAGUAACCUGCCCUUGACUUUGGGAUAACUUCAGGAAACUGGGGCUAAUACCGGAUAGGAGCUCCUGCUGCAUGGUGGGGGUUGGAAAGUUUCGGCGGUUGGGGAUGGACUCGCGGCUUAUCAGCUUGUUGGUGGGGUAGUGGCUUACCAAGGCUUUGACGGGUAGCCGGCCUGAGAGGGUGACCGGCCACAUUGGGACUGAGAUACGGCCCAUACUCAUACGGGAGGAAGCAGUGGGGACUAUAGCAAAAUGGGCGGAAGCCUGAUGCAGCAACGCCGCGUGCGGGAUGACGGCCUUCGGGUUGUAAACGGCUUUCGCCUGUGACGAAGCGUGAGUGACGGUAAUGGGUAAAGAAGCACCGGCUAACUACGU